GCAUGUGAUGUGCGUCUAUUGCUUUGUAGGGGUACUCGAAACCUUACUGAUAUAUAGAUCUAGGUCGACAGAUUUAACAUAAAGUAUCUCGAGGUGUUUAUGUUUACAUGGAUACUGGCAGAUUCUAGGAAUGCCACCUAAAAAUCGAGCGGAGAGCCAGAGAUCCCCGGCCAGGGGGGUCGGGAUGAAACGUAACCGUCGGACAACAGGUCAACUCCGGGAACGAAGUCCAAAUCACACGGCCACACCUUGGACGGAUCGACAAACCCCGGCAGAGGGACAGCCACAACCCCCUGAGGAGGUCCCUCGAUUCCCACUCGAUAAUACACCGGAUAACCCGGUGGGCCCGUGUUCGAAGACUUGCACCAGAGGCAGACCAGUGACCUACACCACUACCAGCCCACAUAUGGGACUUGUAGAGCAGCAAACAUCUAGACUUCUUACAGGUCACUGGCUCACAACACUCACUUGGCAUACAAUACAGCUUUAACCAAGUUUAAACAGUUUACUUUACUGUAUGGUUUCACCAGCACAUGGUCUGUCCCUGUCGAUCAGCUGC
This is a long non-coding RNA of Ostrea edulis (European flat oyster), 559 nucleotides long. RefSeq lists it as uncharacterized. The transcript has 3 exons. NCBI's taxonomy places the organism in Eukaryota, Metazoa, Mollusca, Bivalvia, Ostreida, Ostreidae. The record is from RefSeq and is a predicted model, not a curated record.